CAAGUUUGAAAUCACCCCACUGGUUUCUGAACAAUGUUAUUUCCCUGAGUAAAGAAUUGCUGUGUGUAGUCUUUGCCCAUCCCCUGUGAUGGGCUUUUUUUUGU
Molecule: non-coding RNA, 104 nt
Filed under: Pantoea agglomerans
Lineage: Bacteria; Pseudomonadati; Pseudomonadota; Gammaproteobacteria; Enterobacterales; Erwiniaceae
Also listed under: 4 other names
Description: antisense sRNA RprA
Rfam family: RprA RNA
About the family: Translational regulation of the stationary phase sigma factor RpoS is mediated by the formation of a double-stranded RNA stem-loop structure in the upstream region of the rpoS messenger RNA, occluding the translation initiation site. Clones carrying rprA (RpoS regulator RNA A) increased the translation of RpoS.
Source: RNAcentral